Molecule: ribosomal RNA, 253 nt
Filed under: uncultured bacterium
Lineage: Bacteria
Description: partial 16S ribosomal RNA
Rfam family: Bacterial small subunit ribosomal RNA
Source: RNAcentral
UACGUAGGGCGCAAGCGUUGUCCGGAAUUAUUGGGCGUAAAGAGCUCGUAGGCGGUCUGUCGCGUCGGCUGUGAAAGCCCGGGGCUCAACCCCGGGUCUGCAGUCGAUACGGGCAGGCUAGAGUGCGGUAGGGGAGACUGGAAUUCCUGGUGUAGCGGUGAAAUGCGCAGAUAUCAGGAGGAACACCAGUGGCGAAGGCGGCUCACUGGUCCGGUACUGACGCUGAGGUGCGAAAGCGUGGGGAGCAAACAGG